CCACCACAUUUAUAGACACCUGUUGCAGUAGCAGUUGAAAACUAAUAUACUGGUAUAGUGCCUUAGCCUCAGUACUGGAAAGGAGUCUUGACCCUGUGACAGGAGGGGAAAUCAAUGACCACUUCAGAUAAAGGACGUAGGCAAUAUGAUUCUGCCGCACUGUGACAUUUUUUUACUUUUGGAAUUGACUUUUUCGUUGUGAUAUAAUAUAAAGCCAGUCUGUAGUUAUUUAUUAUUUUGUACCUGAUUUAUAUUAGAUUGUGUAUUAAAAUUCUCUGAUUAAUGAAAUUGUUUCUUUUUAUGUAGGGGCCAGUACUGGAGAUUGAACCCAAGGGCACUCUACUGCUGAGCUACAUUGUUGGUACUUAGGAGUUCUUUGGGAGUUUUCUGUUUUAUGAGGCAGGGUCUUGCUUGCUAAGUUGCCCAAGCUAGCAUCAAACUUAAAAUCCUCCUGUCUCAUCCUCCAGAAUCGCUGGGGAUAUAAGUGUGCUAUAUUUUUUGCCUAUUUUUUUCUCUCAUUCUAGAAUUCUUCUAACUCCCAUCUAUAGUCUAUCACUUUCUUCCAUUUCUGCUCCAGCCUGAAAAUUUUAUUUCUUACAUAACCUGUAAUUUUUGCUUUAGGAGAAGUGCAGCUUUUUAAAUUUGUAUUUGUUGUUCUUUGUUUUUGUGGUGUUGAUGUCUCUAUCUAACUUAGGGCCUUGUGCAAGCCAGGCAAGGUAUCUACCACUGAACUACAGCCUCGGCGGGAAAGUUGUAGCUUUGUUAAUAGGCAUAUACUUAUAAUUGCUGUUAUUGUGAACUGUAGGCUAUGGUAUUUAGCAUCUUCAAGAUUAUAACCCCUGCUUAUCUUUGUUUAUUUGCCUAUUAUAUAUUUCUUCCCAAGUAAAUUUUAUUAGAGUUUACCGUGUUUAUAGGCAAGUCUGUACAUGAUAAUGCAAUCAAACAACCAUUAGAAUUAGAACUGUAUGACUUAAGUGAAAGAACACAAAGGGAACAGCAAUAUAAGUACCCAGGUCCAGUAAUACCUGCAACCUAGAAGUCCCUUUGGAGUUUUUGUUCAACCAGUAGCUCCACCAAAGUAACCACCAUACAUCAGCUUUGUCUCUUUUUGAACUGAUCUGUAUAAGGAAUCAUACACUGUGAGUACCCAACUGUGUUGG
Molecule: long non-coding RNA, 1160 nt
Filed under: Marmota monax (woodchuck)
Lineage: Eukaryota; Metazoa; Chordata; Mammalia; Rodentia; Sciuridae
Source: RNAcentral